GAUCCUGGCUCAGGAUGAACGCUGGCGGCGUGCCUAACACAUGCAAGUCGAGCGGAAGCAUUUUAAAGGAAGUUUUCGGAUGGAAUUUGGAAUGACUGAGCGGCGGACGGGUGAGUAACGCGUGGGUAACCUGCCUCAUACAGGGGGAUAACAGUUAGAAAUGACUGCUAAUACCGCAUAAGCACACAGUACCGCAUGGUACAGUGUGAAAAACUCCGGUGGUAUGAGAUGGACCCGCGU
RNAcentral lists this ribosomal RNA (240 nucleotides) under uncultured bacterium. Its description in RNAcentral is "partial 16S ribosomal RNA". It matches the Rfam family "Bacterial small subunit ribosomal RNA", at positions 15 to 236 of the family's 1533-position model. The record is from RNAcentral.